Molecule: unclassified non-coding RNA, 729 nt
Filed under: Hevea brasiliensis (rubber tree)
Lineage: Eukaryota; Viridiplantae; Streptophyta; Magnoliopsida; Malpighiales; Euphorbiaceae
Source: RNAcentral
CUUUAUGACAUGAAAAGAGAGAAAAACAAACACUUGAGUCGUGGAACUAAGAAUUGAUCAUAAAUGAUAAACUUUUCUAGUAGGAAUCUCCCUAACAACUUACAAAAUCAUCAUAGGAGUCCUUUGGAGUAGUAGAAACACUAAUCUAACACAUGAAUAAAACACUCACACACAACAAAAUGGCUAACCAAAUGAUUUGAAUGAAAACUAUAGAUUGGGGGCAGGCAACUUUCUGCCUCUUGUUAUGGGGAGACUCUUCACUUUGUGUAGAGGACAUCUUCCCAUGGAUGACGAUACAAUGGCUGCUUCAAUCUCUUCUGGUCAAAUGUGUGUCCUAUAAGCCCAAUUGAACGAGCCAGCACGAAAAGUCCAUUGAGGUAACCAAUCCCCACUAUUUCAUCAAUUUCUGGCUUCGUGAACAUACCACUGCCCGCAAGGAGAUCCAAGAAGAGGGAUCCGAUGGCACCAUCAACGUUGAGGACUAGGUUGUUUGCCUUUGAGAGUGUGUAAGUUUCAACCUGAACAGCAUAUUCCAUGUACUUAACAGAAGGGAAAUUUUCCCUAGCAUAACGCUGCAGUAGUUCCACUCUCUUAUCUCUAUUGUCACCUCUUUUAAUCCUGUGGCCAAUUCCUGGAACUCGAAUGCCUUUUUUCUUCAUACUUUCUACAAACUCAUAUGGAGUAAGACCCUUGUCAUAAGCAUCCUUGAAGUACCGGGCAGCAUCAUCA